AUGCCUCCCCCCGCCUGCUCAGUGCCCAGGAGCUCGGCCGACGACGCCACAAACGCCGACAUGUAUAGCGCGCCGUGCGCCGCGGCCGUGCCCUUGAUCUCCUCGAUCUGGUCGUGCGUUAGCGCGAAGGACGCGAUCAGCGGAGACGGAGGUGGAGGCCCCUGCGCUGUCACUACGCCGACGCCUCGAAGAUCGGCAUGGUGUUGGCCGGCUUUAGGUCGGCGCGGGAGAUCCCAUCGGCGGCAAGCGACGCGCGCGCCGGCAACGCAGCAGCCUGGUCCGAGUAGUGGCGUAGGCGGGUGA
Molecule: ribosomal RNA, 303 nt
Filed under: Triticum aestivum (bread wheat)
Lineage: Eukaryota; Viridiplantae; Streptophyta; Magnoliopsida; Poales; Poaceae
Description: partial small subunit ribosomal RNA
Source: RNAcentral